GGAUCCAGACUUUGAUCAUGGCUCAGGAUGAACGCUAGCGACAGGCUUAACACAUGCAAGUCGAGGGGCAUCAUGAGGUAGCAAUACCUUGAUGGCGACCGGCGCACGGGUGAGUAACGCGUAUGCAACCUGCCUGAUACCGGGGUAUAGCCCAUGGAAACGUGGAUUAACACCCCAUAGUACUUUUAUCCUGCAUGGGAUGUGAGUUAAAUGUUUAAGGUAUCGGAUGGGCAUGCGUCCUAUUAGUUAGUUGGCGGGGUAACAGCCCACCAAGACGAUGAUAGGUAGGGGUUCUGAGAGGAAGGUCCCCCACAUUGGAACUGAGACACGGUCCAAACUCCUACGGGAGGCAGCAGUGAGGAAUAUUGGUCAAUGGACGAGAGUCUGAACCAGCCAAGUCGCGUGAGGGAAGACUGCCCUAUGGGUUGUAAACCUCUUUUAUAAGGGAAGAAUAAGUUCUACGUGUAGAAUGAUGCCUGUACCUUAUGAAUAAGCAUCGGCUAACUCCGUGCCAGCAGCCGCGGUAAUACGGAGGAUGCGAGCGUUAUCCGGAUUUAUUGGGUUUAAAGGGUGCGUAGGCGGUUUAUUAAGUUAGUGGUUAAAUAUUUGAGCUAAACUCAAUUGUGCCAUUAAUACUGGUAAACUGGAGUACAGACGA
Molecule: ribosomal RNA, 658 nt
Filed under: uncultured bacterium
Lineage: Bacteria
Description: bacterial SSU rRNA
Rfam family: Bacterial small subunit ribosomal RNA
Source: RNAcentral